Molecule: long non-coding RNA, 285 nt
Filed under: Homo sapiens (human)
Lineage: Eukaryota; Metazoa; Chordata; Mammalia; Primates; Hominidae
Description: HSALNT0147715
Source: RNAcentral
CAUGCACCCACUGAGGAAAGACCACAUGAGGAUACAACAAGAAGGCUGCUGCCUGCAAGCCAGGAAGAGAGCCUUCACCAGAACGCCACCCUGCUGGCUCCCUGAUCUUGAACUUCUAGCGUCCAGAAAGUGUGAAGAUUAAUUGCUGAAGUGAUCAUCAAAAUGAUUGGCAUCUUCUGUUAUUUCAGCAAGAAUAUAAAACUGAGGGGAACUGUUGAAAGAGGACAAAAUAAGAAAUAAUACAUUACUGAAUAAAUUGGUUUUGGAAAAAACAAGGAAAAUGAA